GGCCUCCUAGCUCAGUUGGCUAGAGCGUUGGCUGUACGAAACCUUCCCCUUUCUGGUGUGGGUUCGAAUCCCACGGAGGUCA
Molecule: transfer RNA, 82 nt
Filed under: Schistocephalus solidus
Lineage: Eukaryota; Metazoa; Platyhelminthes; Cestoda; Diphyllobothriidea; Diphyllobothriidae
Rfam family: tRNA
About the family: Transfer RNA (tRNA) molecules are approximately 80 nucleotides in length. Their secondary structure includes four short double-helical elements and three loops (D, anti-codon, and T loops).
Source: Rfam by way of RNAcentral